UUGUGUUAGCGAUAGCAGUGGUAUCCUUAUUUGUAAUGUGAAGCUUUGUGAAGCUUCACAUUACAAAUAAGAUUUAACGAAUAGCGCGACCGCUU
Molecule: small RNA, 95 nt
Filed under: Lutibacter agarilyticus
Lineage: Bacteria; Pseudomonadati; Bacteroidota; Flavobacteriia; Flavobacteriales; Flavobacteriaceae
Description: Lutibacter sp. KYW566 Flavo-1 RNA
Rfam family: Flavo-1 RNA
Source: Rfam by way of RNAcentral